Molecule: long non-coding RNA, 3556 nt
Organism: Carassius auratus (goldfish)
Lineage: Eukaryota; Metazoa; Chordata; Actinopteri; Cypriniformes; Cyprinidae
Source: Ensembl
AGGGAGGAAAGGCCAUUCGAGGCGUGGCUGUACUGUCAUCGUGACCUACAUAAGCGUACCCCUUCUUCUUUCUCCCCCCUCAAAGUUUGUUUUCCCCACUGUACUUCCAGUCUCCCCCGGUUGUGAAGUUAUUUUGAGAGGCAUUCCUGGCCUCGGAUUGUGUCCGUCAGUGCCUUUCAAGGCCAAAUUUGUGCCUUAAUAGUGAAGACCAUCACCACUGUAUUAUGUACUUGUUUUUACUUCUUAGUAGACUAGGUGAAGUUUGAGCAAAAAAAAAAAAAAAUGCUUUGUUCACGUGGCCUUCAGUGUUUUAAACCUGUGUUUUUUGUAUUUCAUGUCAAUAUGAAUGUUUGUUCCUUUUUUUGUUCUUUUUUUUUUUUUGUAGUGCCAAAUGAACAACUCUCAAUUUGAUGUUUUAUUAGAUUUUUGAUUUGCAUUUUUUUUGUAUUAACAAAUGAGUAAAUCAUGCAGGGCAUGUAUUGCUUUUGUUCACAGAUAUUAUCUGGUAUAUAGCUUGCUCACAAUAAAAUGGAGUAUAUGGAUUGUCGUCUUGUGAGGGGUAACACUGUCCUUCAAGAUUUAAUCCCGUUAGCCCAGUGCUGCCGCAAUCCUAAUCCACACAGAUUGCUGAAGUCCACUCUGAAUGGUCUCAAUCCCCACGGAAUGCCCAACCACUGCUAAACAUUCAGGUAAAAAACUUGAUUAUAAUAACUGCCUUCCUGUCUGGAAUCCGUCUUUUAGCAUGAUUUAGCAUGAUGAUGGUGCUCUUAAAGGAAGUAGUGAUUUAGAUCUGAUGAGUGUUUUAGGAUUAGCCAGUAUAUUAAUCCUUUCUACCAUAAUUAAAAUUACAUUUCUGAAUUUUUUUUCAAGUGGACUUACUUUAAAUAGUUAAACACUAUACAAUAAGGUUUUAGCCUAUGCUGUUUAGCAUGGUAGGGUGGAUUAGGGUAAUGUGGGACAUUUUUAACCAUUUUGACUUGUGCAUCAUAUUUUCAAAUGAAGCCAAAAAGAUACAUCAAAAUGUUAUAUGAUUAUGAUACCCAAGAUGUUCCCUAUCUAAAUCAGAAGACAUUCAGAAAUUGUAAUUAAAGGGGAAAUGGCACAUAUAUUAGUGUUCCUUGUGCCAAAUCGUUUAAGAAUUUGUGGAUGUAUAAAUUCAUCAGAAACCUAAUUUGAUAACAAUUUAGAACAUUGUUUUAUUUAUAACUGAUUUAUAUCAUUAACAUUAAUUUAGUCUAAAUCCUAUGUCAAUGUCAUUUCAGUGAACUUUACAAGAGGUACUUCCUGUUUGUUGAUUUACUAGGCAACAUUUCUGACAUAAUUUCCAGAAAGUCAAGUGAUUUCAAUUACUUUACACCCCUGCUUGAAUUCAACGCCAAUCAUGUUCACUUUAAUUUUAAAGAAGAGAUAAACGCACUGAAGCUUAAGUGUCCCACAUUAGUCAGUGUCCCACAUUACACUAAUCCACCCUUAACAUGAUCGUACACCAUUUCUUAAUUCUGCUCGUCCAUUUCUGUUUCCUGUUCCAUUAAAAAGUUUAGGGUCAGUACGAUUUUUUGUAUGUUUUUGAAAUAGGUUUUUUACCAAAGCAGCAUUUAUUUGCGAAAUAUUACUACAAUUCUAAAAUUUUACAAAAAAAAAACAUUACCCCAGUCUUCAGUGUUAUGUGAUCUUUCAGAAAUCAUUAAAAUGCUGAUUUGGAAAAUGUUUAUUAUUAUGAUACAUUUUCACCAUUUUAGAUGCUAACAGAUGAUUAGUGUUUUGGUCCUCAGGGUGAACUUGCUUUGUGCAUUUUGCUUUGUGCAAAACAUUUAGAUGGACAGAGUGAAAGAUCAAAGUGAAUAAAUGACUUUUGCUUGACUUCCUGAACACCGUUUCCAUGCAACCGUUUGCUAAUCGUUUGAAUGGCUGCCAUAUACAGUAGGCCUGCCAUACUGGGACUUUCAUAACAUCACAUUUUAUGUAAGACAAUUGGGUCCAAAAUAAUUUUAGAGCAAGCCUGUCGUGAGAACUAGUCUGCAGACCCACAAAAAACACUUUUAUUGUUCUCCAUCAAGCUUAUCAAACCUCUUGUGUUUGCUAAAGGAUGUGGGAAAUGUGACAUCAUUCUGUUUUUGAAACUGUAUGUGGGGUUUCCCUGGAAAAGUGCCCUUAUAGUUUGGAUGAAUAGAAGUCUCAGUGGGCUUUCCCAACGAUGCAAUCCUCGUCUUGGAAGCAACUCCCUUUUAAUAUUGUUGAGUAAAGCAAAUACACAAGAAUUGGGUCCUGAAGAAGGGUUUUAAGUUAAGCCUGACAAGGAUGAAACAUGAUUCUCUUAUUUCAAGGUUAAGACUGACUCCCUGUUGACUCAAACAAUAGGAGUUUUAACAGAGUUUUCCCUUCCCUCAGGAUGUUUAACUGGGUGGUGAAGGUCGUGCCACAUCCUCCCGAUACACAAGAGGAUCUGAGGGAGGAAGCAAUCACUGCGGUAAACCCACAAGCCCAUUAACAUGGACUCAUAAUGCACACCUCACAAAUAUCUGUGACUAUUUAACAGUGCAAGUAAUCUGAUUGCCUCUAAAUGGGGUCAUGACAUACAUGUUUGUUUUAGUGUUUUACAAGCAUGAAUUCAAGAUGUUUGUUGCCAAGUAAUUUGUAGUUUGAAGCCCCUGGGCUAGUGGUUAACACACUUGAUCUGAAAUAAUGAGCCAUGGUGCUCAUGUGGAUAAUAUAAGUUUGAAUCUUGCUUGCAACAUUUUCUAAACCCAUUCCCUUUUCCACACCCCAGCUUCCCUUUCUAUAUUAUAUCUAUGAAACUGUUAAAAAGGCCAAUAAUAAAUUCAAAAACGAAUCUGAAUAUUACUUGAAUUCCUAGAUAUAAAAAAUGAUGCUCUCAUAUUAUCGUCUUGCUGUUGCAUUGAUGUCCUCUCAUUUAAUGAACCUCUAAUUCUCUUAAAUCUCUCUCUGAAGAAUGGAAAAACAUCGAAUCGAGGUACAUUUACAGCACUCGAUCGUUUAUUAGGUUUAAUGUAAUAUAUAUUGUCUCACUUUAUGUUUGGUGGCCUUACAAUGUACUAAAUAUAAUAUAAUAUCUAAAUAUAAUAUACUAAUGUACAAUGAGCCUCUAUCUCUUUUAUUGUUAUGCAGACAAGUUCAAUUCAGCCAAAACAGGCAGGGAGGAAGACCAGUCAUCUCAAACCUCAAAGGACAGGUGAGUUUUGACCGAUCUUUCCAGUAAAGUGCACAAAAGAUAUUCCCUGACUGUCUGGACAUGAGACAUGCUGAAAUCUGUUUGUUUCAGUGUUCAGAGUGGUAUGUUGAACUGGAUCUCCAACGGUUUCGUAAGCGCACUGCCCCAACCUGCAGGGAGUCCUCUUCUUACGAGAGCCAACCCUGAUGCUAAAGUACUGAUUUCAUGUCAGCUAAAGUAGUUUGAUAUUUAAUACCAUUUGGUAUUGCAUAUUAAUGUGCACUUAAACCAAAAUAACAUCAAUAUAUAAUUCUAUUUUUUAUUUUGCAGUCACUUCAGGAUGAAGGUUCUAUGGACAGGUAAGGCUAUGAAUAUUCAAUCACUGUG